GACGAACGCUGGCGGCGUGCUUAACACAUGCAAGUCGAACGGAAAGGCUCCAGCUUGCUGGAGUACUCGAGUGGCGAACGGGUGAGUAACACGUGGGUAAUCUGCCCUGCACUCUGGGAUAAGCCUGGGAAACUGGGUCUAAUACUGGAUAUGACCUUUCUCCUUAUGGGGUUUGGUGGAAAGUUUUUCGGUGUAGGAUGAGCCCGCGGCCUAUCAGCUUGUUGGUGGGGUGAUGGCCUACCAAGGCGACGACGGGUAGCCGGCCUGAGAGGGUGAUCGGCCACAUUGGGACUGAGAUACGGGCCAGACUCCUACGGGAGGCAGCAGUGGGGAAUAUUGCACAAUGGGCGGAAGCCUGAUGCAGCGACGCCGCGUGAGGGAUGACGGCCUUCGGGUUGUAAACCUCUUUCAGCAGGGACGAAGCGUAAGUGACGGUACCUGCAGAAGAAGCACCGGCUAACUAUGUG
RNAcentral lists this ribosomal RNA (467 nucleotides) under uncultured bacterium. RNAcentral's name for it is "partial 16S ribosomal RNA". It matches the Rfam family "Bacterial small subunit ribosomal RNA", at positions 28 to 507 of the family's 1533-position model. The record is from RNAcentral.